CCUACGGGAGGCAGCAGUGGGGGAUAUUGCACAAUGGGGGAAACCCUGAUGCAGCGACGCCGCGUGGGUGAAGAAGCGCCUCGGCGCGUAAAGCCCUGUCAGCAGGGAAGAAAAUGACGGUACCUGAAGAAGAAGCCCCGGCUAACUACGUGCCAGCAGCCGCGGUAAUACGUAGGGGGCAAGCGUUAUCCGGGUUUACUGGGUGUAAAGGGGGCGCAGACGGCGAUGCAAGCCAGGAGUGAAAGCCCGGGGCCCAACCCCGGGACUGCUCUUGGAACUGCGUGGCUAGAGUGCAGGAGGGGCAGGCGGAAUUCCUGGGGUAGCGGUGAAAUGCGUAGAUAUCAGGAGGAACACCGGUGGCGAAGGCGGCCUGCUGGACUGCAACUGACGUUGAGGCCCGAAAGCGUGGGGAGCAAACAGGAUUAGAUACCCCAGUAGUC
This 440-nucleotide ribosomal RNA is filed under the name uncultured bacterium. RNAcentral's name for it is "partial 16S ribosomal RNA". It matches the Rfam family "Bacterial small subunit ribosomal RNA", at positions 338 to 795 of the family's 1533-position model. The record is from RNAcentral.